This 497-nucleotide ribosomal RNA is filed under the name uncultured bacterium. RNAcentral describes it as "partial 16S ribosomal RNA". It matches the Rfam family "Bacterial small subunit ribosomal RNA", at positions 28 to 507 of the family's 1533-position model. The record is from RNAcentral.
GAUGAACGCUGGCGGCGUGCCUAAUACAUGCAAGUCGAGCGAACAGACGAGGAGCUUGCUCCUCUGACGUUAGCGGCGGACGGGUGAGUAACACGUGGAUAACCUACCUAUAAGACUGGGAUAACUUCGGGAAACCGGAGCUAAUACCGGAGAAUAUAUUGAACCGCAUGGUUCAUUAGUGAAAGACGGUGUUGCUGUCACUUCUAGAUGGAUCCGCGCCGCAUUAGCUAGUUGGUAAGGUAACGGCUUACCAAGGCAACGCUGCGUAGCCGACCUGAGAGGGUGAUAGGCCACACUGGAACUGAGACACGGUCCAGACGCCUACGGGAGGCAGCAGUAGGGAAUCUUCCGCAAUGGGCGAAAGCUUGACGGAGCAACGCCGCGUGAGUGAUGAAGGUCUUCGGAUCGUAAAACUCUGUUAUUAGGGAAGAACAAAUGUGUAAGUAACUAUGCACGCCUUGACGGUACCUAAUCAGAAAGCCACGGCUAACUACGUG